RNAcentral lists this transfer RNA (76 nucleotides) under Trichonephila clavata. It matches the Rfam family "tRNA". Rfam says of the family: Transfer RNA (tRNA) molecules are approximately 80 nucleotides in length. Their secondary structure includes four short double-helical elements and three loops (D, anti-codon, and T loops). Lineage: Eukaryota; Metazoa; Arthropoda; Arachnida; Araneae; Nephilidae. The record is from Rfam by way of RNAcentral.
GUUCCAGUAGCUGCAGAUGGAUAGUACGUUGGGACUUCUAAUCCAAAGGUCGUGGGUUCUAAUCCUACCUGGGAUG